This 4876-nucleotide long non-coding RNA is filed under the name Medicago truncatula (barrel medic). Its description in RNAcentral is "long non-coding RNA (MTRU_LNC002102)". Lineage: Eukaryota; Viridiplantae; Streptophyta; Magnoliopsida; Fabales; Fabaceae. The record is from RNAcentral.
AGCAACUCUCCACAAACCCCACCACAAUCAUCUCCUUGUAUCUCCUCUUCAUCAUUCUCUCUUGCAUCAUCGCCUUUGGCGCCGUCAUCACCAUCACCUACAGCGUCUUCCACGCUUGCUUUAACCGACCAGUCAAACUCAAAGAAGCCCUCAAAUCCAUCAUCACUUCCUUCUUCCCCCUCCUCGCCACCGCAACAGUUGCAUUCGUCGUCUUCUUCUUCAUAUUUUUUCUAUUUGGACUUCUCAUUGGACUUGUAUUGUUUCUCAUCACUUACCUAGGCCAUGUCGACCUCAAAACUAACCCUAACUUGGUUGCGUUAUGUUUCAUGGUACUUUUCAUGAUUGUUUUACUCCCUCUUGUGACGUAUUUGCUAGUUAACUUGAGCUUUAUGAAAAUUAUUGUGGUGGUGGAAUCAAGUUGGGGUUUUGAACCAUUGAGGAGAAGUUGGAAAUUGGUGAAAGGAAUGAAAAGGUUGGUUUUGUCAACCAUUUUAUUGUUUGGAUUCUUGGAAGUGAUAUUGCUGAAGAUAAGUUGUUACAGUUUGGUACUAGUUUUAGUGAUUUCUCCUAUACUUGCAAUUCUUAUGCUUUACAAUAUUGUGGUUAAUACGGUGCUGUACAUACACUGCAAGGAGAAGCAUGGUGAAGUUGCAGAUGUGGAAUUUGGGAACGAAAAAGAUGGGGCUAACUUGUCCUUAAUUCCAGUAUAGAAAUGGUUGAUAAAGUUCCUCGUCUAAGUUGUCUUUGCUUUUAGUUUUUUAUCUUGUACUAAUGUCUUUAACUUUGUGAUUAAUUUAAUGUUUGGUUUGUUCAAGUCUUCUCCUUUGUGAUUAAUUAAUUAUGUGGUUGUUCAAUUUUCUUUCUUUUUCAAACCAAGGUAUAUCCUUUGUAAUAACUGAGUUGUAUACAAAGAUCCUUUAAAAAAAUAAAAAUACAAAGAUAAAUUAUACAUUAGAAAUUGUGUGAAUUUUUUUUCUUCAAAAUUUUGAUAAUUAUUUGUUGCCAAUAAAUUAUUAAUAGAAUUUUUAACAUGUGAUUUAUACAUGAUACCGGUUAAAAUAUUGAACUUUUCCGACUCGGUAUUAUUUAAUACACUUGUUGUUAGAGAAUACAAUUAGACACUUAAAUAAAUAAUAGGUUAUUAUCCAUUAUCAUUGUUAUAUAUAGGGUGUGUUUGGUUUGCAAAACAAUAAUUAUUGGAUAGAACAGUACAACAUAAGGUAGAACAGCACAAGACAAAUUUUGUUGAAGCAUUAAGGUGAUGUUGGAAAAUAAAUUGGAAGAUUAAACAUAAUAGUAAUUAUACUUUGAUCUAAUGUGUGAAUUGAAAAAAUAGAGUGUGGAGGUCCCACGUAAAAUAGAACUCACACAUUAGUAGUGUUUAAAUUGUGAUAUUUAAUUUUAAAUACUUGAUAAUUAUAAAAAUAAUAGUAAUUAUUAUUUUUAUUCGAGAAUAUCACUUCCCAUAAAUUUAGCUUAUGGUGGUUGUGAUAAGAAUAAGAAUUUAAUUGAAUUUUUUAUAUUUUCUUCAUUCAAUCCAACAGUUUGUUUCCUCCACUUUUGUGGAUUUGUUUCAGUUGAUCCUAUCCACAAGUGUUGUUGAACUGAUUAAUGGAUAAACUUCAUUUUAAUCUUAUCGAUUAGAGUAACUGUUGUCGCAAUUUAUGCUAAAACAGUUACAGAAUCUCUAUAAAUAGAAGACUCCACUCAGUUCAAAAAACACACCAAAAAGUUUCAUUGAGUUGACGAGUCUUUCAUCUCUCCAUCUCCUUUUUUCUGUCCCUUCGAAAUUAAGAGUGUUCUUAAACCAUAGUCCCUUUUCGGUUUAAUGUCCCUUUGGAAUUAAGAAUGGUCUUAAAAACAUAGUCCCUUCGAUAAUAUAAGUCCCUUCGGAAUAAAGAGUACUAUUAAGAUCAUAGUCCCUUUUGGAAUAAUAAUGUCCCGUCGGAAUUAAAUCUUAACAGUAUAUAAAUAUUCUUCCAAUAUUUUAAUUGAGGAGAAAUUAAAAAAUGGAAAUGGUGGUAUCACCAUAUUUGAGUGGUCGUAGUGCCAUAUUGAUACUUUGGAGAAAUUAAAGUUAGAAUGGUGGUAACACCAUAUUUGAGUGGUCUCAGCACCAUAAUAGAGCGGUAACAAUACCAUAUCCGAAGGUGUAAAUCUCGAAUGGUUUUCUACACUGCAGUAGUUAACCGCACAAUUGUAACUGAGCUUGUUUUAUCCUGGAGGCGGCGUGGUUGAUAGUUGCCUUGCACAAUUUUGGACAGUGCCAUGAAAUGUCUUAAAAAGAGUGAUCUGGUCGUGACUCAACCUAGUAACAACUUCGGUUGAUAAUAGAAUUUGGAAAUCCAAAUACAACAGUUUGGAAAUCCAAAAACAACAAUUUUAAGACGUUUCGAUCUGACUAUAUUAAUUUCAAAUUUUCUAACUUCAUGAUUUUUAAUUUCUUUCUUCUGUAACUUUUCGUUUUUGGUUCUGGUCCCUGUAAUAUAGUCAGGGAUCUUCUAGAAGGCCACCUAAAUUUCAUAUUUAGGUGUUUUUAAUUUCGUCCCUCUGUACCUUUUCGUUUUUGGUUUUGGUCCCUGUAAUAUAGUCAGGGAUCAUCUGUCAGUCCACAUAAGCGUGUUUAGCCAAGUCAGCACGUGUCACAUUACUCAUGUUGUUAGCCAACAAGGCGUUUUUGUAACAGAGUUUGACAGGAGGGACGAAAAGCAAAAAGUUAUUAACUUACAGGGGUUAUUUUAGAACAAAAAAAGAUACAGGGACGAAAACCAAAAACACGCCAAAUUACACGGACGAUUUACAUAUUUAAGCCCUUUUUAAUUUAAUUAUUAUAGCAUAUGAUUUCAGCAGCCUCUUAAAAAAAAAAGCAUAUGAUUUCAGCAAAAAAAAAAAAAAUUAGUAUAUGAUUUUGCUCCCACUUAACAAUAUUUAUGGAUUCGUCCCUGGUUUGAUCCACUUGUUAAAUGGCAUGAACAUAAACCUCGAAUUGUGAAUUAGAUUAGGCACUAGAUUGACCAAACAAGGACAUAAAGAGGAUUCAGAAAAUUCUAAUCGUCAUCAUUUUGUUUUUGAUUAUCUUUUAUUUUCAAUUGCAAACCAAACCCUGAAAAUACCUUAAUUUAUAGUUUUUAUUAAGUAUUGUUGCUUAAAUUGUCGAGUAGAAAACAACGAUACAUUUUUUUUUGAAGGAAGAAAACAACGAUACAUAUGAAGACGAUUGACUUACUACUUUAUAAUUUAUACGAUUUGAUACACUUACCGAAUUUAUCAUCAUAUUGUGAGAUGCUGUAUAAUUGCAAAAACAUUAAAAUUUAUGUUGACCCUCUCAUUUCCCUCUAGUCUCCUUUUGCGUGUGAAAAUCCCUUUAAGAAACUUGGCAUAUCUUAGAAGCAACUUGAUCACUUCAAAGAGAGGAAUAUUUUUUUUUUUUUUUGAACAAUCAAAGAGAGGAAUAUUCAAUUCAACCUUUCUAAAUAUAUCAAAGAUUUCCCUAUCCAUAUACGAUAUAUGCAUGCAUGAUUCAUUUUCCCUUACAUAACUUCCAGACCCCACUACUUGAAAAAUGAGCAUACAAGCAAUCGCGACAGAUCAUAUCACAAAUGUGAAAACUACACCUGCUGCUCGUUAAGAACCUUAUCAAGCACGAGUUUACAACUACUCUAGUAAAAAACCGUAUAAAAAAACUUAAUAGUGAUGAAGCGAAAAAGAGUACAGGACAAUACAAUGAAAAAAACAUAAAAAAUAAGCCCAUAAAAAACGAGGGCAAAAACCAAAUUCUAACAAAAUUAAGCAAUACGCAAAAAGAACCAAUAGAAAGAGCUAAACAACAUAAAAUUACACUACUUGAAUAUCUAAAAAUAUUACCAAAAGUAGCAUGACCACGACUAUUUAUUUUUAUUUUUUUAAAACAAAGACCACAACUAUAUUUUUAUUUUAAUAAAAAAACCAGGACUAUUAUUACUUAGCUUACGUAGUUGAUAUAAAAUAAUGGUUUUCUUUCUUUCAAAAAUAAAAUAAAAUAAUGGAUUUGUCUAACGUAUUGCAAUGUUAAAACAACUAAAAUAGUAACUUUUAAUUGAAAAAUAAUCAUUUAUUAAAAAGUUAUUAUAUUCAUUAAUAUAAAAUCUAUAAGUUCUAAUAAAAAUUUAUUAUUUUAAAUUUUUUAACGCAUGUAAAUUUGCACAUAGAAAAUCCUAAUAUAAAAAGAGAGAGGGAGAGAGAAAGAAAGUGGGUUGUUAUGCAUGUGAUUUCGAUGAAAUUGCUUUCUUUUUUCUCAGAGGACGAUGCAAUAUUCUACUUCUACCUACAAUUUAAGUUGAUUAUUUCUAUUACUUUUCAAUACUUUUUUUUGACCAAAUCUUUAAUACUUGUCACCAGGGAUAUUAUAUCUUAUAAAAACCGAAGUAUACAUGGUGAAAAAGUUCACAAAAGCCUAGUCUCUCUUACACCAUGGCUCCAAAAAUGUGGGAUCUUCUCUCUGAAUCUAAACGCAUAAUAAAUUCUCAACCUCGUCACUACCUUAAUCUCUACCUCAUCUUCCUCCUUCCCCUCUCUUUCCUCUCCCAAAUCUUCAAACACCUUCAACAGCAACCACCCAGAAACCACAGCACAAUCACCUUUUUAUCUAUCAUCUUCUUACUUAUCUCUUCCAUCUUCAGUUAUGGCGCCGUCAUCACCAUCACCUACAGCGUCUUCCACGCCUUCUUUGAUCGACCGGUCAAACUAAAAGAAGCCAUCAAAUCCAUCACCACUUCUUUCUUCCCCCUCUUCGCCACCAGCAUCAUCACUUAUACUCUCUACUUUUUUGUUUCUUUUUUCUUGACGUUUCUCAUUGGAAUUGUAUUGUUUCUCAUCGUUUAUCUAGGCAAUAUCGACC